Molecule: ribosomal RNA, 423 nt
Filed under: uncultured bacterium
Lineage: Bacteria
Description: bacterial SSU rRNA
Rfam family: Bacterial small subunit ribosomal RNA
Source: RNAcentral
AAGACCUUGCGCUUCUGGAGCGGCCGAUGCCUGAUUAGCUUGUUGGUAAGGUAAAGGCUUACCAAGGCUUCGAUCAGUAGCUGGUCUGAGAGGACGGCCAGCCACACUGGGACUGAGACACGGCCCAGACUCCUACGGGAGGCAGCAGUGGGGAAUUUUGGACAAUGGGGGCAACCCUGAUCCAGCCAUGCCGCGUGAGUGAAGAAGGCCUUCGGGUUGUAAAGCUCUUUCAGCCGGAACGAAACGGUUACGGUUAACACCCGUGACUACUGACGGUACCGGAAGAAGAAGCACCGGCUAACUACGUGCCAGCAGCCGCGGUAAUACGUAGGGUGCAAGCGUUAAUCGGAAUUACUGGGCGUAAAGCGUGCGCAGGUGGUUUUGUAAGUCAGAUGUGAAAUCCCCGGGCUUAACCUGGGAACU